UAUUUUUCAAGUAGCUCCUUCACUCCAUGUGAAGUUCGCUUCAGUGUUUACUUGUGAUAUAGCCUUGGAAGGAAAACAUUAAAAGUGCAGUCUCAAACUCAAGAGCACUUAAGACAUUUGGAGUGCUGAGGGAUCAAACUUCAGAUUUGCCACUCACAGCUGGGGAAAGUGAAAUGACAGCAAAGCAAAGCACAGUGUUGUAAGUACACCUUACUGGGAACACCUUUACACUUGGCACUCUGCUGGUCUGGAGGCUUCAGGUGAGUCUUAACACAAUUCCAAAAUCUUCUUGGGGCGGGGGGCAUCCCAGCAAAGUGACAGCAUGCAAUGCAAAUAGCAAUACAAUUACAAAAAAUCUGAACAAGUACAGCUUGUUGGAAAAGGUUCUCAGAGAAAGCCUCUUAUCUUUAAAAAGAAGAUAACAGCACAGCUUAGCUUUGCAAAGUUUCAAACAAACAAAUCACAAGACUUACUGUGUGUAUUAUUGUAGGGUCUUUACCUUACAAUAUUAAGUGCAACAUUAUUUCAGGAGUUUUCAGUUCACUUCAAUUAUAUUCAUAUACAACAACAGUGACAACAGCUGCCUAAAGCUGUUGUCACUGUUGUUGUAUAUGAAUAUAAUUGAAGUGAACUGAAAACUCCUGAAAUAAUGUUGCUUGGACAGACAAGACCAAAAUGGAGAUGUCUGGCCAUAAUAGCACCACUUUUGGUGAAAAACUAAAACAGCAUAUCAGCACAAAACAGCUUAUGACUGAAAAGUGAUGAUUUACAUUUGUUUUGCAGCCACAGGACCUGGGCACCUUUCAGAUACUGAGUUGACCAUGAACUCCUCUGGAUCCCAAAGUAUUGGAGAGGCUAUCUAGAAUACUUAAGCUUUCCCAGAAUGGGUGGUGCAACAGGACAAUGAUCCCAAGCAUACCAGUUAAUCUCCAAAUUUACAACAGAAUAGCUGACGAAGAAAGAUAUCAAGAUGUUGCAAAGGCCCAGUCAUAGCCGAGACCUGAACCUGACUGAAAUGCUGUGGUGGGAUCUGAAGAGAGCUGUGCAUGAAUGCCUGCUCUCCAUUACAGGUUUCCUACGAAACAACAGGAAGCAGAACCACAGGUACGACGGACUGAGGUACACAUGCUGUUCAGUUCCCCCAAAUCUAUGUUUUAUUUACAAGCAGCUCUGGCUGUACAGAAAUGUAAACCUGUCUGAUAUGUCUUAA
This 1210-nucleotide long non-coding RNA is filed under the name Oreochromis niloticus (Nile tilapia). RNAcentral's name for it is "lncRNA (ENSONIG00000033914.1)". The record is from RNAcentral. Lineage: Eukaryota; Metazoa; Chordata; Actinopteri; Cichliformes; Cichlidae.